RNAcentral lists this unclassified non-coding RNA (941 nucleotides) under Hevea brasiliensis (rubber tree). Lineage: Eukaryota; Viridiplantae; Streptophyta; Magnoliopsida; Malpighiales; Euphorbiaceae. The record is from RNAcentral.
GGUAUUUCAACUGCUAGUAUCAAUGUAUGAAAUAAAGGACAAAUCAGAUCAACCAGCAGUUAUGUCCUCAAAAAUUGGAGUACUAUCUGAAAAAUACCAUAAAUUAGAUCCUACAUUGCUUCGCCCUAGCUAUUGCACAAAGUACAAAAAUACACACAAUUCCAUCAACCAAAUCCGAGUGUGUUGGAUAUAUUGAUGCAGCAAUAAAACGCCACCAGGCUACUGUAGAUUCAAACUAAGUGCUUCUUCAGCCUCAAAUUCAAGAUGCUUCCAAUUCAGCCUUUUUAUUUUCCAAGAGCUUCAACUCUUUUCUCCAGCUUUCCAGCUUGGCCAUUUUCUCCAGCUGCUCUGGCUUCAUGUCCUUCUCAUCAGUCUUCUGCUGUUGAGCUUCUGUCAGCCGAAUCUUUUUCUUCAGAGCUCGGAUCUUUUUGUCAAUGUCCUGCAGACUAUCUCCCAUGCCAGAAGACUCGGUUGAAUUUGAAGGAGGGACAACAGGAUUUGCAGAUAUGGCAAGAUUGUUUAUCUGGGACAUAACUGACUCGACCUGAUCUGGACCAUCAACUGAAUUUUCAGCAGAUGAGACCUCAUCGUUCUCUGGAUUCUUACCCUUUUCAAGGGCAGCCUGUUGACGCUUCUCCUUCUUCCUUUCAUUCCGCUUGGCAGCUUUAGACUUGGGCUUUUCAUCCAUCACAGGAUCAUAACCCGGCGGAACAUCCUGCAGUGACUCCAUUUCCUUCUUCCAAAUAGCGCCUUUAGAUUUGUAAAUGGCGACUUCAUCUUGAGGCACAUAACCAGCCCUAAUUCGAAUAGGUUUACGGAGUGUUCCGUCAGGUCGUCUUGUUGGUGCGAGUAGUCUUUCCCCUUCUUUUAGGGUUUUGCCUAGCUCAGCUGCCAAUUGUUUCGCUUCUUCCUCUCCUCUGGUCGUGCUGCUCGCCAUUGCC